ACGAGUGCGGGUCUUUGGGCCACCUCCCAUCCGUGUCUAUUGUACCCUGUUGCUUCGGCGGGCCCGCCGCUUGUCGGCCGCCGGGGGGGCGCCUCUGCCCCCCGGGCCCGUGCCCGCCGGAGACCCCAACACGAACACUGUCUGAAAGCGUGCAGUCUGAGUUGAUUGAAUGCAAUCAGUUAAAACUUUCAACAAUGGAUCUCUUGGUUCCGGCAUCGAUGAAGAACGCAGCGAAAUGCGAUAACUAAUGUGAAUUGCAGAAUUCAGUGAAUCAUCGAGUCUUUGAACGCACAUUGCGCCCCCUGGUAUUCCGGGGGGCAUGCCUGUCCGAGCGUCAUUGCUGCCCUCAAGCCCGGCUUGUGUGUUGGGUCGCCGUCCCCCUCUCCGGGGGGACGGGCCCGAAAGGCAGCGGCGGCACCGCGUCCGAUCCUCGAGCGUAUGGGGCUUUGUCACAUGCUCUGUAGGAUUGGCCGGCGCCUGCCGACGUUUUCCAACCAUUCUUUCCAGGUUGACCUCGGAUCAGGUAGGGAUACCCGCUGAACUUAAGCAUAUCAAUA
Molecule: ribosomal RNA, 557 nt
Filed under: Aspergillus niger
Lineage: Eukaryota; Fungi; Ascomycota; Eurotiomycetes; Eurotiales; Aspergillaceae
Description: eukaryotic LSU rRNA
Rfam family: 5.8S ribosomal RNA (bases 184-337)
Source: RNAcentral